Molecule: ribosomal RNA, 253 nt
Filed under: uncultured Rhodospirillaceae bacterium
Lineage: Bacteria; Pseudomonadati; Pseudomonadota; Alphaproteobacteria; Rhodospirillales; Rhodospirillaceae
Description: partial 16S ribosomal RNA
Rfam family: Bacterial small subunit ribosomal RNA
Source: RNAcentral
UACGGAGGGGGCUAGCGUUGUUCGGAAUUACUGGGCGUAAAGCGCACGCAGGCGGUGCGAUCAGUCGGAUGUGAAAUCCCAGGGCUCAACCCUGGAAUUGCAUUCGAUACUGUCGCGCUGGAGGACGGAAGAGGAGAGUGGAAUUCCCAGUGUAGAGGUGAAAUUCGUAGAUAUUGGGAAGAACACCAGUGGCGAAGGCGGCUCUCUGGUCCGUUACUGACGCUGAGGUGCGAAAGCGUGGGGAGCAAACAGG